UGCAAUAAGCGACUGUAAAGUUAACCAUGUAGUAUAAAGGCAUAUAAUGCAACAACAACAACAACAAAAUUAAAAGUUAGCCCUUACUCAAAAAGACAUGCUUACCAUAAAAGAGGAAGAUAUAGGAGGGGGAAGGUGCCUAAAGGUCAUUAUUUGAUCAAAUAAGACAAAGAAAUACGAUAGUUCACUAGACACAGAGAGAAACUUAACCACUGAGACUAUGCUUUUAAGUUUCUGAAACUCAAUAAUAGAAUGAUGUCAGAAGGGAAGUUAACAUCAAAUUUUCUCUUCUUACCAUGUUCUCUUUGUCUUCUAAGAGGGCUCUCUCGGGAGUGCAUGCAUUAGCAGGACCUAUGAUAAAAAGAAAGUUCUAAGUUAACACCAAAUUUUCUCUUCUUACUAUAUUCUCUUUGUCUUCUGGGAGGACUCUCUCUG
This 435-nucleotide long non-coding RNA is filed under the name Nicotiana benthamiana. RNAcentral's name for it is "long non-coding RNA (NBEN_LNC029889)". Lineage: Eukaryota; Viridiplantae; Streptophyta; Magnoliopsida; Solanales; Solanaceae. The record is from RNAcentral.